This 84-nucleotide transfer RNA is filed under the name Cyanobacteria bacterium HKST-UBA01. Its description in RNAcentral is "tRNA-Tyr". It matches the Rfam family "tRNA". Rfam says of the family: Transfer RNA (tRNA) molecules are approximately 80 nucleotides in length. Their secondary structure includes four short double-helical elements and three loops (D, anti-codon, and T loops). Further hydrogen bonds mediate the characteristic L-shaped molecular structure. tRNAs have two regions of fundamental functional importance: the anti-codon, which is responsible for specific mRNA codon recognition, and the 3' end, to which the tRNAs corresponding amino acid is attached (by aminoacyl-tRNA synthetases). tRNAs cope with the degeneracy of the genetic code in two manners: having more than one tRNA (with a specific anti-codon) for a particular amino acid; and 'wobble' base-pairing, i.e. permitting non-standard base-pairing at the 3rd anti-codon position. Lineage: Bacteria; Bacillati; Cyanobacteriota. The record is from RNAcentral.
CGGUGGGUAUGCAAGUGGCCAAAGCACCGUGACUGUAAAUCACGGGUCGGAAGACUUCGCAGGUUCAAAUCCAUGCCCCACCGA